Molecule: ribosomal RNA, 279 nt
Filed under: uncultured bacterium
Lineage: Bacteria
Description: partial 16S ribosomal RNA
Rfam family: Bacterial small subunit ribosomal RNA
Source: RNAcentral
UGCCAGCAGCCGCGGUAAGACGGAGGGUGCUAGCGUUGUUCGGAAUGACUGGGCGUAAAGGGCGCGUAGGCGGUUUUGUUAGUCAGGCGUGAAAGCCCCGGGCUCAACCCGGGAACUGCGUUUGAUACUGCAAGACUUGAGGACGGAAGAGGAAAGUGGAAUUCCUAGUGUAGGGGUGAAAUCCGUAGAUAUUCGGAGGAACACCAGUGGCGAAGGCGGCUUUCUGGACCGAUACUGACGCUGAGACGCGAAAGCGUGGGGAGCAAACAGGAUUAGAUA